GCCGAAUAUUACCAAUAAUUCAGGAAAGAAACAGAGCAUCAAAUUUGAGCAGCUGGGAGAAGUUUGGAACCCAUCAAUUGGUUGAUUAUUAUUACACAAAAACAUGGGAAGAAACUGUAAUUAGCAAGCCAUGUCUAAUUUCAACACACGAGGAAACCAGCCAGCCAACUCAUCAAUGACGUAGAGCAGCUCAGGUGUCAGAAUAAUGCAUGCGAAUUUACCUCUUGUGCUCCUGCA
RNAcentral lists this unclassified non-coding RNA (237 nucleotides) under Hevea brasiliensis (rubber tree). The record is from RNAcentral. Lineage: Eukaryota; Viridiplantae; Streptophyta; Magnoliopsida; Malpighiales; Euphorbiaceae.